UCUCGGAUAGCUUAACCGGUAGAGCCCUUGGCGCGUAACCGAGAGAUCUGGGUUCGAUUCCCAGUCUGGGCU
RNAcentral lists this transfer RNA (72 nucleotides) under Cotesia glomerata. Its description in RNAcentral is "tRNA-Thr". It matches the Rfam family "tRNA". Rfam says of the family: Transfer RNA (tRNA) molecules are approximately 80 nucleotides in length. Their secondary structure includes four short double-helical elements and three loops (D, anti-codon, and T loops). Further hydrogen bonds mediate the characteristic L-shaped molecular structure. tRNAs have two regions of fundamental functional importance: the anti-codon, which is responsible for specific mRNA codon recognition, and the 3' end, to which the tRNAs corresponding amino acid is attached (by aminoacyl-tRNA synthetases). tRNAs cope with the degeneracy of the genetic code in two manners: having more than one tRNA (with a specific anti-codon) for a particular amino acid; and 'wobble' base-pairing, i.e. permitting non-standard base-pairing at the 3rd anti-codon position. Lineage: Eukaryota; Metazoa; Arthropoda; Insecta; Hymenoptera; Braconidae. The record is from RNAcentral.